This 391-nucleotide unclassified non-coding RNA is filed under the name soil metagenome. Its description in RNAcentral is "partial contains 5.8S ribosomal RNA, internal transcribed spacer 2, and large subunit ribosomal RNA". The stretch from base 1 to 122 matches the Rfam family "5.8S ribosomal RNA", at positions 35 to 154 of the family's 154-position model. The record is from RNAcentral.
GAUGAAGAACGCAGCGAAAUGCGAUACUUGGUGUGAAUUGCAGAAUCCCGUGAACCAUCGAGUCUUUGAACGCAAGUUGCGCCCGAAGCCAUUAGGCCGAGGGCACGCCUGCCUGGGCGUCACACGUCGUUGCCCCCCCAUCUACUCCUUCGGGAUUGCGGGGGGCGGAUGAUGUCCUCCCGUGCGCCUCGUCGCGCGGUUGGCAUAAAUGCCAAGUCCUCGGCGACACACGCCACGACAAUCGGUGGUUGCGAAACCUCGGUUGCCCGUCGUGUGCGGUCGUCGCGCAUCGAGGGCUCGAAAAAAUUGCCGGGCUCCGGCUCGGCUUUCAACGCGAACCCAGGUCAGGCGGGGUUACCCGCUGAAUUUAAGCAUAUCAAUAAGCGGAGGA